Molecule: ribosomal RNA, 225 nt
Filed under: uncultured bacterium
Lineage: Bacteria
Description: partial 16S ribosomal RNA
Rfam family: Bacterial small subunit ribosomal RNA
Source: RNAcentral
ACGCUCGACACCUACGGGAGACAGCAGUAGGGAAUCUUCCACAAUGGGCGCAAGCCUGAUGGAGCAACACCGCGUGAGUGAAGAAGGGUUUCGGCUCGUAAAGCUCUGUUGUUGGAGAAGAACGUGCGUGAGAGUAACUGUUCACGCAGUGACGGUAUCCAACCAGAAAGUCACGGCUAACUACGUGCCGGCAGCCGCGGUAAUCUGAGGCGGGCGUGGCAAGGC